CCCCAGACUCCUACGGGAGGCAGCAGUGGGGAAUAUUGCACAAUGGGGGGAACCCUGAUGCAGCGACGCCGCGUGGGUGAAGGAGUACUUCGGUACGUAAAGCCCUAUCAGCAGGAAAGAAAAUGACGGUACCUGACUAAGAAGCCCCGGCUAACUACGUGCCAGCAGCCGCGGUAAUACGUAGGGGGCAAGCGUUAUCCGGAUUUACUGGGUGUAAAGGGAGCGUAGACGGCAGUGCAAGUCCGGAGUGAAAGCCCGGGGGUCAACCCUGGGACUGCUCUGGAAACUGUAAAGCUGGAGUGCGGGAGGGGCAGGCGGAAUUCCUGGUGUAGCGGUGAAAUGCGUAGAUAUUAGGAAGAACACCGGUGGCGAAGGCGGCUUGCUGGACUGUAACUGACGCUGAGUCACGAAAGCGUGGGGAGCGAACAGGAUUAGAUACCCCUGUAUCC
This 449-nucleotide ribosomal RNA is filed under the name uncultured bacterium. Its description in RNAcentral is "bacterial SSU rRNA". It matches the Rfam family "Bacterial small subunit ribosomal RNA", at positions 329 to 795 of the family's 1533-position model. The record is from RNAcentral.